CGGCCGCGGUAAUUUGACCGUGCUAAGGUAGCAUAAUCAUUUGUCUUUUAAUUGAAGACUGGAAUGAAAGGUUUAACAAGAAAUUUGCUGUCUUAAAAAAUAAAAUUGAAUUUUAUUUUUUAGUGAAAAAGCUAAAAUAAUUUUGUGGGACGAUAAGACCCUAUAGAUCUUAAUUAUUUAGAGUGAUUAACUUUUAAACAUAAUUUUAUUGGGGCGAUAGCAAGAAAAGAAUAUCUCUUAAAACUUAGAAAUACUGAUAAGUAAAUUGGUAAAUGAUCCUAGAAGAUAGGUUAUUAGAAUAAGUUACCUUAGGGAUAACAGCGUAAUAUUUUUUUAGAGUUCUUAUCGAAAAAAAUGUUUGCGACCUCGAUGUU
Molecule: ribosomal RNA, 374 nt
Filed under: Lynceus macleayanus
Lineage: Eukaryota; Metazoa; Arthropoda; Branchiopoda; Diplostraca; Lynceidae
Description: partial 16S large subunit ribosomal RNA
Rfam family: Bacterial large subunit ribosomal RNA
Source: RNAcentral